RNAcentral lists this unclassified non-coding RNA (304 nucleotides) under Viridiplantae environmental sample. RNAcentral's name for it is "sequence contains 5.8S rRNA gene, ITS2, 28S rRNA gene". Lineage: Eukaryota; Viridiplantae. The record is from RNAcentral.
AACGCAAAUUGCGCUCGAGGCCUUCGGGUCAAGAGCAUGUCUGUUUCAGCGUCGGCUAUCCAAUCAAACCUCUUUUCUUUUGUGGAAAGAGGCUUCGGAGCUGACUGUCUCCAGCCUGCAUGGGCAGGAGUCUGUCGAAUAGCAUCGGCUAUGGUGACCCAUUUAAGGGGAUCCGGAUUGGUAGGUGACCUUACGGUUACAAAGCCACCGGAGCCCUGAGCGUUGCUGUAGCCUGCAGGAAUCGAGGAGUGGAAGCUCCUUUCCUUUCGACCUGAAAUCAGGCAAGACCACCCGCUGAACUUAA